AGGAGUUAAAACAAGAUAUUUCCAGCUUUCGUUUUGAAGUCCUGGGUUUGUUAAAAGGAAGCAAGCUGUCUAAUUUGCAGACUGCAAAGAUGAACAAGGACACUGCCUCUCCUUCAGAAAAUGAAGAAAAUAGUGAGGGUGAAGGAAACAAGAAAGGAAAGAAAAAGACCUUCAGCCUGUUUGACAUAACAACAAUGAUACACCCAAGAUCAGCCACUAUUGCCUCUGAAACACAUAAUGUAAGCAACGGCUCAGCAAUGAUGGUGUCAGAGUCCACUAAGGAGAAACAAAAGCGUGUGAAUUUUGUGACAGACAUAAAAAAUUUUGGGUUAUUUCACAGACGAUCAAAAACAAACUCUGUGGAGCAGAGUACAAAUAAAAUAUAUACCGUUUCUGAAGAAGUUUCCCGUCAACAGGCAGAAGAACAAUGUGAGAAAACUGCUGAACUGGAAGAGGGAGAACUGACCAUGAACUGUGAAUUAAACAUCCAAAGUCCUGACGAAAAAUGCGUGUUAGCUGAGUCACAAAAUAACAGCGACUCUUCAGAUUCACAGGAAGAGGGAAGUAUUUGUGCUUCAGAAACAGAGAAAAUGGAGUUAGAGAACUCAGAACAAGCCACACUGCAGGAUCAGCUGGACAAGGAGUUGGACAUUAGCAUUGACUGUGAUGGGAAACAGGAAACAGUUGAUCAGGGUGAUUAUGUGAUAACAAGGUUGUGAUGCUUACAGGAGGAAGCAUUUACAAAUAUAUAUAUUUUGCAUAGUGCUUUGGGGGGGGUGUUUUAAGAAUUAUAUUAGCAAAUGCAGAAUUACACUUUAUAGUACUCAGCUGUGGCACAUGAUCUUGUAACAUAGUAAAGAGAAAGAUAAUACGGGGACCUUCUG
RNA transcript from Phaethon lepturus (White-tailed tropicbird), 884 nucleotides. It is a transcript of the gene named short transient receptor potential channel 4 pseudogene, with no coding region annotated. The record is from RefSeq and is a predicted model, not a curated record. The transcript has a single exon. NCBI's taxonomy places the organism in Eukaryota, Metazoa, Chordata, Aves, Phaethontiformes, Phaethontidae.